Molecule: ribosomal RNA, 470 nt
Filed under: uncultured bacterium
Lineage: Bacteria
Description: partial 16S ribosomal RNA
Rfam family: Bacterial small subunit ribosomal RNA
Source: RNAcentral
GACGAACGCUGGCGGCGUGCUUAACACAUGCAAGUCGAACGCUGAAGCACCACCUUUCUGGUGUGGAUGAGUGGCGAACGGGUGAGUAAUACGUGAGUAACCUGCCCUUGACUCUGGGAUAAGUCCGGGAAACUGGGGCUAAUACUGGAUGCUACAUGUCGCCGCAUGGUGGGGUGUGGAAAGGUUUUGCUGGUGUUGGUUGGGCUCCCGGCCUAACAGCUUGUUGGGGGGGUUAUGGCUCACCAAGGCGUUGACGGGAAGCCGGCCCGGGGGGGUGACCGGGCAAACUGGGACCGGGGCACCGCCCAGGAUCCUACCGGGGGGAGGCGGGGGGAAUAUUGCCCCAUGGGCGGGAGCCUUAUGCAGGGAAGCCGCGUGGGGGAUGACGGCCUUCCGGUUGUAAACCUGCUUCAGCAGGGGAGGAGCCGCAAGUGACGGUACCUGCAGAAGAAGCGCCGGCUAACUACGUG